This 556-nucleotide long non-coding RNA is filed under the name Malus domestica (apple). RNAcentral describes it as "long non-coding RNA (MDOM_LNC004132)". The record is from RNAcentral. Lineage: Eukaryota; Viridiplantae; Streptophyta; Magnoliopsida; Rosales; Rosaceae.
GGCGCUUCGAGCUCUGAGCAACGUCGAUUGUAGAGGUAGCAUGUGACACGUGCGGAUAAAUCUGGAAAAGAAGAUUUGCCCGUGGGUUGAAGCCCAGCUUUUGAGAAAGCUAGCGUGUCUUUGACUGUUGAAUUUCCCUCUUCGAUUUCUGAAUUGGUGCUUCGACAAACUGCCCGAGAAUUUCGCAAAGCAAUUUACGUGUGACAAGUGACGACACGUCUGGACAAAUUGAUCUUUUGAAAUCCGGGGUUCGGCUCGUGGUUUCUGAGCAAGCCCAGCCUUUAAGAAAUGAAACGCCUCUUUUGAGAAAAGAAUCCGGCUUUUGAGAAAGGAGCCCCGACUCUUCGAUUUGCGAGAGGACGCUUCUCUGAGGAGCGCCUCUCCGAUUUCUUCUUUUUAUAGAGGCGUUAAUUUUGUUCCACAACACACUUGAGCACCCUCCUGUAAACACUCCCUUCUUGCACUUGUUUAAUCUUGAUCAUUCCGACUCUCUUCUUUCUUCACCACCUCUGAAAAAUGUCUGGCCCUUCUGAUCGUCGUUUUGACUUGAACAUUG